AGAGUUUGAUCCUGGCUCAGGAUGAACGCUGGCGGUCUGCUUAACACAUGCAAGUUGAACGCAGUACUUCGGUACUGAGUGGCGGACGGGUGAGUAACGCGUGAGAAUCUGCCUAGAGGUCGGGGACAACCAUUGGAAACGAUGGCUAAUACCGGAUAUGCCUUACGGGGUGAAAGAUUAAUCGCCUUUAGAAGAGCUCGCGUCUGAUUAGCUAGUUGGUAGGGUAAAAGCCUACCAAGGCAUCGAUCAGUAGCUGGUCUGAGAGGAUGACCAGCCACACUGGGACUGAGACACGGCCCAGACUCCUACGGGAGGCAGCAGUGGGGAAUUUUCCGCAAUGGGCGAAAGCCUGACGGAGCAAGACCGCGUGAGGGAGGAAGGCUCUUGGGUUGUAAACCUCUUUUGUCAGGGAAGAACACAAUGACGGUACCUGACGAAUCAGCAUCGGCUAACUCCGUGCCAGCAGCCGCGGUAAUACGGAGGAUGCAAGCGUUAUCCGGAAUUAUUGGGCGUAAAGCGUCCGCAGGUGGCUUAUCAAGUCUGCGGUCAAAGACCGGGGCUUAACCCUGGAAAGGCCGUGGAAACUGAUAAAGCUAGAGUACCGUAGGGGUAGAGGGAAUUCCCGGUGUAGCGGUGAAAUGCGUAGAGAUCGGGAAGAACAUCGGUGGCGAAAGCGCUCUACUGGACGGUGACUGACACUCAGGGACGAAAGCUAGGGGAGCGAAUGGGAUUAGAUACCCUAGUAGUCC
Molecule: ribosomal RNA, 749 nt
Filed under: uncultured bacterium
Lineage: Bacteria
Description: bacterial SSU rRNA
Rfam family: Bacterial small subunit ribosomal RNA
Source: RNAcentral